GCAGACAUACAACAUUAGUUUAACUUUUCUUUUGUUUUUUUUUUUUUUUUUUUUUUAUACACCCUUGCUUUGUCGUUUUGUUAUACACACACACACUCACACACACACACUAGACAGACAAAAACAGAUUGAAAGUCAAUACGUUUUAGUAGAAACACAUUUUGUUUUUCUUAAUUUUUUUUUUGUUUGAAUUGGAUUUGAUUAAAAACGGCUCGUAAAUAGGCAGCAAAGUCAGUAAAAGGGCUUUUUGAGCAUUAAUAUUGUAGGUUCUGGCGGUACAGUCACAAAUCAAAUGUUAUCUACUCUAAAAGUGCACGUGCAAGUCAACAGCUAGUAACUGAGGGCUUCAUCAGAAGGUAAAGUAAACUUUUGGGCAUUAGCUUUAGAAAUUGGUUUAGGGCUCGUAGAAUUGUGAGCAGAACCGAUUUUCGAAGCAAGUUUAAAACGUAUACGAGUUUUAAACGAUCGUUAAAACGAACGUUUAAAAAUCGCAAAAGUUCUAUUUGAAUGUUAUACGCGCAUUAACAUCAAAUAGAGCAAUAGAGCAACAACAAAUAAAGGGAUUACAUUAAAUGUUGGGUUAACGUUAUACAAGCCGAGCAAAAGACAAACCAACUAUUUUUAGGGCAUGUAUAAUGUUGCAGCACGCAUAACAAAUAGCAAAUGUUAUACGUGCCGAGAAAAAAAGUGUUAAAAAAAAUAUAUAUAUAGGAGUUAGGAAAAGAAAUGUAACGUUAUACGUGCCUUAACAAAUACUUUCA
This 761-nucleotide small RNA is filed under the name Drosophila virilis. RNAcentral describes it as "GJ25621". The record is from RNAcentral. Lineage: Eukaryota; Metazoa; Arthropoda; Insecta; Diptera; Drosophilidae.